RNAcentral lists this ribosomal RNA (495 nucleotides) under uncultured bacterium. RNAcentral describes it as "partial 16S ribosomal RNA". It matches the Rfam family "Bacterial small subunit ribosomal RNA", at positions 28 to 507 of the family's 1533-position model. The record is from RNAcentral.
GACGAACGCUGGCGGCGUGCCUAAUACCUGCAAGUAGAACGCUGAAGGAGGAGCUUGCUUCUCUGGAUGAGUUGCGAACGGGUGAGUAACGCGUAGGUAACCUGCCUGGUAGCGGGGGAUAACUAUUGGAAACGAUAGCUAAUACCGCAUAAUAGUAGAUGUUGCAUGACAUUUGCUUAAAAGGUGCAAUUGCAUCACUACCAGAUGGACCUGCGUUGUAUUAGCUAGUUGGUGAGGUAACGGCUCACCAAGGCGACGAUACAUAGCCGACCUGAGAGGGUGAUCGGCCACACUGGGACUGAGACACGGCCCAGACUCCUACGGGAGGCAGCAGUAGGGAAUCUUCGGCAAUGGACGGAAGUCUGACCGAGCAACGCCGCGUGAGUGAAGAAGGUUUUCGGAUCGUAAAGCUCUGUUGUAAGAGAAGAACGAGUGUGAGAGUGGAAAGUUCACACUGUGACGGUAUCUUACCAGAAAGGGACGGCUAACUACGUG